GAAGGCAAUGAUGUAAAUAAUCUUAUCGUACACACUGAAUUUUGAUGUAGAUUGAAACUCCGCUUAUUAUCUGAUGCCUUC
Small nucleolar RNA from Cornus florida, 81 nucleotides. RefSeq annotates it as small nucleolar RNA R16. NCBI's taxonomy places the organism in Eukaryota, Viridiplantae, Streptophyta, Magnoliopsida, Cornales, Cornaceae. The transcript has a single exon. The record is from RefSeq and is a predicted model, not a curated record.